AUAAAGACCUGUGUUUCUGGCUUGCUCCAAAUGAGAUGUAAGUAGUGAAAAGCAAAGGAGAUCAAGAUGCUGCAGUCAAGAAGCUGGAAAAAUACCAAUCAAGGGCGUUGGCAUAGACAAAGGAGCGAGGGCCUCAGUCAAAUGCUGCUGUGAGGGAGAAUGAGACCAGGUGGAGCAGUGAGUACAGGGGUGCCAGGCUUCCUGGAAAGGGCAGCUUCGGUGGAUGUGCCAGAGCCUGACCCAGUUGGUGAGUAUGAAUGAGAAUGAAGAAAGGAAUUAGUGAUUAGCAGCACUCUUUUGAGAAGUAUUAUCGAGAAGAAAAGCAAAUAGAAGGGUACGGUAAGUACCUAGAAGAGGAUGUGAGAUCACAGGAUGCUUUUUUAAGUUGAGGUAUAAUUUACAUAAAUGUACAGAUCUUAAGUUUUGCUUUUCUUAAAAAAAAAAAAAAAAAGAGCAAAUGCAGGAGAGGAGAGAGGGCCUGAAAAGAAAGGGUGAUUAAGAUGUCCUGUAGUGAGGGAAACAACUUCAGGAUAGAGCAUCUUUUUUCUCUAGUACCCAGCAUGGCACCUGGCACCCAACAAGUGCAGAUCAAAGUGGAAGAGCAAGGCAAUGUAAAUUUCAGCAGUGCGGGGCUCUUCUCCUCCCUAGGAACUACUCAACCUCUGCCUUGAUACUGAAGAGCACAAAGCAGGAGAAAACUCUAUGUCUUUCCCAAAGGCAAUCUGUCUGUCUCUCUUCCCAGGAAGGUCAGUGCCUGCCAAUCACUCUACAGGAAAGGAUGUACCUUUGAAGAGGAACUUUCCGGACCCUCUUAAUUCUGCCAUUAGUGCAGCUCUUCCAGAUAGAGCUUUGGAGCCAAACCCUUCUGAUGAUCCAAGGGCAAGCACAAUCUUCCUGCGACAAUAUCAAACAGAUGUUCAAGAAAAGAGAAAAAGCAGCCGCACAAACCAUGUACCUACUAAGCAUUUUACUAAAAAGCACAGCUCGUGUUCAACCAUAUACCUAGAUGACAGCACAGUCAGCCAGCCUUAUUUUACAACCACGGUAAAAUCGUGAGUACAACUAUGAUGUCAAGGGACACAGCCCCUUUUUCUAAAAUCAUCCCAGCCAUCCUCAGUUAUUUCAGUCAUUUGAUUAUCUUUUUCAGCAAUCAGUCUAAGAAACUGUUGUCAACUAUAUAUUGAUUUCCAAUUCUAAAUAUUAAUUUUCAAAAAAAUAUUAAUUUUCAGUUUCUCCUUUAACUUUAGACUUCACAUUGGAAGGGAAAAUUGGUUAGCAAAUAAUCAAUCCCUGGAAAAGUGUAGUUAUUUAUUUGAUGCUUUUUUGCCUUAUGACAAUGUUGAAUACAAUGAGUAGGAUAGGUGUCCUUUAUAGGAUGUUUUCCCCCCCAAAAAAAGUUUUUUUAUGAGUUACAGGCCUAAAUCAAUCAAUAUGUACUACUUUUGACAUUAAUCUUGGAAGAAGGAACAACUUUUUCUCUACUGGCACCGUAGUAUAUCUGCAUUUGACUUCCCUUCAUUUUGCAUGAACACCUCAUAGGGCACAAUUGAAGAUGCACUUUUAGAACAACCCAAG
This is a long non-coding RNA of Rhinopithecus bieti (black snub-nosed monkey), 1575 nucleotides long. NCBI's taxonomy places the organism in Eukaryota, Metazoa, Chordata, Mammalia, Primates, Cercopithecidae. The record is from Ensembl.